This 301-nucleotide ribosomal RNA is filed under the name uncultured bacterium. RNAcentral's name for it is "partial 16S ribosomal RNA". It matches the Rfam family "Bacterial small subunit ribosomal RNA", at positions 509 to 807 of the family's 1533-position model. The record is from RNAcentral.
CAGCAGCCGCGGUAACACGUAGGUGGCAAGCGUUGUCCGGAAUUAUUGGGCGUAAAGGGCUCGCAGGCGGUUUCUUAAGUCUGAUGUGAAAGCCCCCGGCUCAACCGGGGAGGGUCAUUGGAAACUGGGAAACUUGAGUGCAGAAGAGGAGAGUGGAAUUCCACGUGUAGCGGUGAAAUGCGUAGAGAUGUGGAGGAACACCAGUGGCGAAGGCGACUCUCUGGUCUGUAACUGACGCUGAGGAGCGAAAGCGUGGGGAGCGAACAGGAUUAGAGACCCCGGUAGUCCCUGUCUCUUAUAC